RNAcentral lists this ribosomal RNA (252 nucleotides) under uncultured bacterium. Its description in RNAcentral is "partial 16S ribosomal RNA". It matches the Rfam family "Bacterial small subunit ribosomal RNA", at positions 524 to 776 of the family's 1533-position model. The record is from RNAcentral.
UACGAAGGGGGGCUAGCGUUGUUCGGAAUUACUGGGCGUAAAGCGCGCGCAGGCGGCUAUCCAAGUCAGUGGUGAAAGCCCGGAGCUCAACUCCGGAACUGCCAUUGAAACUGUUUAGCUUGAGGAUGAGAGAGGUGAGUGGAAUUCCCAGUGUAGAGGUGAAAUUCGUAGAUAUUGGGAGGAACACCAGUGGCGAAGGCGCUCACUGGACUGUAUUGACGCUGAGGUGCGAAAGCGUGGGGAGCAAACAGG